ACGGGUGAGUAACGCGUGGGAACAUACCCUUAUCUUCGGAACAACUCCGGGAAACUGGAGCUAAUACCGAAUGUGCCCUUCGGGGGAAAGAUUUAUCGGAUAAGGAUUGGCCCGCGUUGGAUUAGCUAGUUGGUGGGGUAAAGGCCUACCAAGGCGACGAUCCAUAGCUGGUCUGAGAGGAUGAUCAGCCACAUUGGGACUGAGACACGGCCCAAACUCCUACGGGAGGCAGCAGUGGGGAAUAUUGGACAAUGGGCGCAAGCCUGAUCCAGCCAUGCCGCGUGAGUGAUGAAGGCCUUAGGGUUGUAAAGCUCUUUCACCGGAGAAGAUAAUGACGGUAUCCGGAGAAGAAGCCCCGGCUAACUUCGUGCCAGCAGCCGCGGUAAUACGAAGGGGGCUAGCGUUGUUCGGAAUUACUGGGCGUAAAGCGCACGUAGGCGGACAUUUAAGUCAGGGGUGAAAUCCCGGGGCUCAACCUCGGAACUGCCUUUGAUACUGGGUGUCUUGAGUGUGGAAGAGGUCAGUGGAAUUGCGAGUGUAGAGGUGAAAUUCGUAGA
Molecule: ribosomal RNA, 557 nt
Filed under: uncultured bacterium
Lineage: Bacteria
Description: bacterial SSU rRNA
Rfam family: Bacterial small subunit ribosomal RNA
Source: RNAcentral